This 450-nucleotide ribosomal RNA is filed under the name uncultured Desulfocapsa sp. RNAcentral's name for it is "bacterial SSU rRNA". It matches the Rfam family "Bacterial small subunit ribosomal RNA", at positions 927 to 1382 of the family's 1533-position model. The record is from RNAcentral. Lineage: Bacteria; Pseudomonadati; Thermodesulfobacteriota; Desulfobulbia; Desulfobulbales; Desulfocapsaceae.
AAGCGGUGGAUCUAUGUUGUUAAUUCGAUGAUACGCGAAGAACCUUACCAGGUCUUGACAUCCCCGCAAUGCUUUAGAGAUAAAGCGGAGGUAUCCGGGGAGACGAGGUGGUGCAUGGUUGUCGUCAGCUCGUGUCGUGAGAUGUUGGGUUAAGUCCCGCAACGAGCGCAACCCUUAUUGCUAGUUACCAUCAUUGAGUUGGGGACUCUAGCGAGACUGCCAGCGAUAAGCUGGAGGAAGGUGGGGAUGACGUCAAGUCCUCAUGGCCUUUAUGACCAGGGCUACACACGUACUACAAUGGCCGGUACAAAGGGCAGCCACUUAGCGAUAAGGAGCCAAUCCCGUAAAGCCGGUCUCAGUCCGGAUUGGAGUCUGCAACUCGACUCCAUGAAGUUGGAAUCGCUAGUAAUCGCAGAUCAGCACGCUGCGGUGAAUACGUUCCCGGGCCUU